UACGAAGGGUGCAAGCGUUACUCGGAAUUACUGGGCGUAAAGCGUGCGUAGGUGGUGAGUUAAGUCUGUCGUGAAAUCUCCGGGCUUAACCCGGAGCGGCCAAGUGAUACUGUCGUGCUAGAGUGCGGAAGGGGCUACUGGAAUUCUCGGUGUAGCGGUGAAAUGCGUAGAUAUCGAGAGGAACACCUGCGGCGAAGGCGGGUAGCUGGGCCGACACUGACGCUGAGGCGCGAAAGCCAGGGGAGCGAACGGG
This 253-nucleotide ribosomal RNA is filed under the name uncultured bacterium. RNAcentral describes it as "partial 16S ribosomal RNA". It matches the Rfam family "Bacterial small subunit ribosomal RNA", at positions 524 to 776 of the family's 1533-position model. The record is from RNAcentral.